CGAGGGGUGCAAGCGUUGCUCGGAAUUAUUGGGCGUAAAGGGUAGGUAGGUGGUCUUAUUUGUCUGGGGUGAAAGCCUUGAGCUUAACUCAAGAAGUGCCCCAGAAACGGUAAGACUCGAGUCCUGGAGAGGGUCGUGGAAUUCCCGGUGUAGCGGUGAAAUGCGUAGAGAUCGGGAGGAACACCAGAGGCGAAAGCGGCGACCUGGACAGGCACUGACACUCAACUACGAAAGCGUGGGGAGCAAACAGGAUUAGAUACCCUGGUAGUCCACGCCGUAAACGAUGGGUACUAGGUUUGGCGGGUCUUGACCCCUGCUGAACCGGCGCUAACGCACUAAGUACCCCGCCUGGGAAGUACGGUCGCAAGACUA
This 372-nucleotide ribosomal RNA is filed under the name uncultured organism. Its description in RNAcentral is "bacterial SSU rRNA". It matches the Rfam family "Bacterial small subunit ribosomal RNA", at positions 526 to 896 of the family's 1533-position model. The record is from RNAcentral.